This 315-nucleotide small nuclear RNA is filed under the name Jaculus jaculus (lesser Egyptian jerboa). RNAcentral describes it as "7SK RNA (ENSJJAG00000002030.1)". It matches the Rfam family "7SK RNA". From Rfam's summary of the family: 7SK was discovered as an abundant small nuclear RNA in the mid-70s but a possible function has only recently been suggested. Two independent studies have found that 7SK RNA binds the CDK9/cyclin T complex (known as elongation factor P-TEFb). Lineage: Eukaryota; Metazoa; Chordata; Mammalia; Rodentia; Dipodidae. The record is from Rfam by way of RNAcentral.
GGACGUGAGGGCGAUCUGGCUGUGACAGCUGUCACCCCACUGAUGGCCAGGGUUGAUUUGGCUGAUCUGGCUGGCUAGGUGGGUGUCCCUUCCCUCCCUCACCGCCCCGUGUGUGUCCCUCCUGAAGCAGGAGGACGACUCUUCCCCGAAUAGAGGAGGGCCGGUCUUUAGUCAAGGGUAUAUGAGCAGCUGCAUUCCCCUACUGGAACCUCCAAACAAGCUCUCAGGAAUGUGCUAGUGCAUCUGGUGUGAGCUGUGGGCAAGUAAGAUCCCACGCUCCAGCACGGUACUGAGGAAUGGCACGAGUGUCUCUCA